UUCCUGUAUAUAGGUGUGAAUUAGCUG
RNAcentral lists this non-coding RNA (27 nucleotides) under Mus musculus (house mouse). The record is from RNAcentral. Lineage: Eukaryota; Metazoa; Chordata; Mammalia; Rodentia; Muridae.